GGGCGGGGGCUGCCUAUACAUGCAAGUCGAACGAGCUUCCGUUGAAUGACGUGCUUGCACUGAUUUUAACAAUGAAGCGAGUGGCGAACUGGUGAGUAACACGUGGGAAAUCUGCCCAGAAGCAGGGGAUAACACUUGGAAACAGGUGCUAAUACCGUAUAACAACAAAAUCCGCAUGGAUUUUGUUUGAAAGGUGGCUUCGGCUAUCACUUCUGGAUGAUCCCGCGGCGUAUUAGUUAGUUGGUGAGGUAAAGGCCCACCAAGACGAUGAUACGUAGCCGACCUGAGAGGGUAAUCGGCCACAUUGGGACUGAGACACGGCCCAAACUCCUACGGGAGGCAGCAGUAGGGAAUCUUCCACAAUGGACGAAAGUCUGAUGGAGCAAUGCCGCGUGAGUGAAGAAGGGUUUCGGCUCGUAAAACUCUGUUGUUAAAGAAGAACACCUUUGAGAGUAACUGUUCAAGGGUUGACGGUAUUUAACCAGAAAGCCACGGCUAACUACGUGCCAGCAGCCGCGGUAAUACGUAGGUGGCAAGCGUUGUCCGGAUUUAUUGGGCGUAAAGCGAGCGCAGGCGGUUUUUUAAGUCUGAUGUGAAAGCCUUCGGCUUAACCGGAGAAGUGCAUCGGAAACUGGGAGACUUGAGUGCAGAAGAGGACAGUGGAACUCCAUGUGUAGCGGUGGAAUGCGUAGAUAUAUGGAAGAACACCAGUGGCGAAGGCGGCUGUCUAGUCUGUAACUGACGCUGAGGCUCGAAAGCAUGGGUAGCGAACAGGAUUAGAUACCCUGGUAGUCCAUGCCGUAAACGAUGAGUGCUAAGUGUUGGAGGGUUUCCGCCCUUCAGUGCUGCAGCUAACGCAUUAAGCACUCCGCCUGGGGAGUACGACCGCAAGGUUGAAACUCAAAGGAAUUGACGGGGGCCCGCACAAGCGGUGGAGCAUGUGGUUUAAUUCAAAGCUACGCGAAGAACCUUACCAGGUCUUGACAUCUUCUGCCAAUCUUAGAGAUAAGAGGUACCCU
RNAcentral lists this ribosomal RNA (1019 nucleotides) under Levilactobacillus brevis. RNAcentral's name for it is "bacterial SSU rRNA". It matches the Rfam family "Bacterial small subunit ribosomal RNA", at positions 37 to 1019 of the family's 1533-position model. The record is from RNAcentral. Lineage: Bacteria; Bacillati; Bacillota; Bacilli; Lactobacillales; Lactobacillaceae.